AAUGGCCGCAGUAUUUUGACUGUGCAAAGGUAGCGUAAUCAUUAGUUUUUUAAUUAAGAACUUGUAUGAAUGGUCGGAUGAGGGGAUAACUGUCUCUGCUCUAUUUUUGUAGAAUUUUAUUUUUGAGUUAAAAAGCUUAAAUUUUUAUUAAAGACGAGAAGACCCUAUAGAGUUUAAUAUUAAGUAUUAGCUAUUAUUUAGGGAUUAAUCUAUUUUUAUUUAUUUAUUAUUUUGUUGGGGUGAUGGGAAAACUAAAUUAACUUUUUUUCCUUUAUUUAUACAUUAAUUUUUGGUUUCAUGAUCCAGUUUUUUUGAUUAAAAGUUCAAAUUACCUUAGGGAUAACAGCGUAAUCUUUUUGGCGAGUUCUUAUCAAUAUAAAGGUUUGCGACCUCGAUGUUGGAUUAAAAUUAACAGUUGGCGCAGAAGUUGACGUGUUGGGUCUGUUCGACCUUUAAAAUUUUACAUGAUCUGAGUUUAAACCGGCGUAAGCCAGGUUGGUUUCUAUCUUGAUUUAUUUUUGGUAUUUUAGUACGAAAGGAUCGGAUACUAUUAAUUUUUAAUUUUUAUGGAUAAUUUUGUUACUUUGGCAGAUUAGUGCAUUAAAUUUAGAAUUUAAUUAUGUAUGGUUAAUACAGGUAAUACUUGAUUU
This 650-nucleotide ribosomal RNA is filed under the name Derallus sp. SLE0041. Its description in RNAcentral is "partial 16S ribosomal RNA". It matches the Rfam family "Bacterial large subunit ribosomal RNA", at positions 1926 to 2822 of the family's 2925-position model. The record is from RNAcentral. Lineage: Eukaryota; Metazoa; Arthropoda; Insecta; Coleoptera; Hydrophilidae.